Molecule: ribosomal RNA, 314 nt
Filed under: Amphipholis squamata
Lineage: Eukaryota; Metazoa; Echinodermata; Ophiuroidea; Amphilepidida; Amphiuridae
Description: partial 16S ribosomal RNA
Source: RNAcentral
UUACGCUGUUAUCCCUAAGGUAACUUUUUCUUUUGCUCAGAAACUUCUGGGUCUAUUAGACUCAAAUCAUUAUAUUAAUCCCCUGUUAUAAAAGAGGGGAGGUUGCCCCAACCAAACCUAGGUAAAGCUCUAUAGGGUCUUCUUGUCCCACUUACUAAUUAAGGUCUCUUCACCUUAAAAUCAAUUUCGAGUUAAAUAAAGAGAGACAGUCUCUCUGUCGUCUAGCCGUUGAUACUAGCCUGCAAUUAACAGGCGAAUGAUUAUGCUACCUUUGCACAGUCAGUAAUACUGCAGCCGUUUAACUAUUGUCNAGG